UACGAAGGGGGCUAGCGUUGCUCGGAAUCACUGGGCUUAAAGGGCGCGUAGGCGGGCUGACAAGUCUGGGGUGAAAUGCCGCGGCUCAACCGUGGAACUGCCUCAGAUACUGUCGGCCUCGAGGAAGGUAGGGGCAUGCGGAACUGUAGGUGGAGCGGUGAAAUGCGUUGAUAUCUACAGGAACUCCGGUGGCGAAAGCGGCGUGCUGGACCUUUUCUGACGCUAAGGCGCGAAAGCUAGGGGAGCAAACGGG
This 253-nucleotide ribosomal RNA is filed under the name uncultured bacterium. Its description in RNAcentral is "partial 16S ribosomal RNA". It matches the Rfam family "Bacterial small subunit ribosomal RNA", at positions 524 to 776 of the family's 1533-position model. The record is from RNAcentral.